CAGCAGCCACGGGAAUACGUAGGUGGCAAGCGUUGUCCGGAAUUAUUGGGCGUAAAGGGCUCGCAGGCGGUUUCUUAAGUCUGAUGUGAAAGCCCCCGGCUCAACCGGGGAGGGUCAUUGGAAACUGGGAAACUUGAGUGCAGAAGAGGAGAGUGGAAUUCCACGUGUAGCGGUGAAAUGCGUAGAGAUGUGGAGGAACACCAGUGGCGAAGGCGACUCUCUGGUCUGUAACUGACGCUGAGGCUCGAAAGCCAGGGGAGCGAACGGGAUUAGAUACCCCUGUAGUCCCUGUCUCUUAUAC
This 301-nucleotide ribosomal RNA is filed under the name uncultured bacterium. RNAcentral's name for it is "partial 16S ribosomal RNA". It matches the Rfam family "Bacterial small subunit ribosomal RNA", at positions 509 to 807 of the family's 1533-position model. The record is from RNAcentral.